RNAcentral lists this ribosomal RNA (654 nucleotides) under Nostoc calcicola ISB98. RNAcentral describes it as "bacterial SSU rRNA". It matches the Rfam family "Bacterial small subunit ribosomal RNA", at positions 33 to 689 of the family's 1533-position model. The record is from RNAcentral. Lineage: Bacteria; Bacillati; Cyanobacteriota; Cyanophyceae; Nostocales; Nostocaceae.
CCGGGGGGGGGAUGCUUACCAUGCAGUCGAACGGAAUCUUAGGAUUUAGUGGCGGACGGGUGAGUAACGCGUGAGAAUCUAGCUCUAGGUCGGGGACAACCACUGGAAACGGUGGCUAAUACCGGAUGAGCCGAAAGGUAAAAGAUUAAUUGCCUAGAGAUGAGCUCGCGUCUGAUUAGCUAGUUGGUGUGGUAAGAGCGCACCAAGGCGACGAUCAGUAGCUGGUCUGAGAGGAUGAUCAGCCACACUGGGACUGAGACACGGCCCAGACUCCUACGGGAGGCAGCAGUGGGGAAUUUUCCGCAAUGGGCGAAAGCCUGACGGAGCAAUACCGCGUGAGGGAGGAAGGCUCUUGGGUUGUAAACCUCUUUUCUCAAGGAAUAAGAAAGUGAAGGUACUUGAGGAAUAAGCAUCGGCUAACUCCGUGCCAGCAGCCGCGGUAAUACGGAGGAUGCAAGCGUUAUCCGGAAUGAUUGGGCGUAAAGGGUCCGCAGGUGGCCCUGUAAGUCUGCUGUUAAAGAGUGAGGCUCAACCUCAUAAAAGCAGUGGAAACUACAGAGCUAGAGUGCGUUCGGGGUAGCAGGAAUUCCUGGUGUAGCGGGAAAUGGGCUAAGAAAAGUUCUUUUUUCUUCAGAUUUCCUUUUUGCUAUUUUC